AAGAUGCUACCUAAGACUUCUAAUCUUUACCCGGUACACUGUACCACAUCUUU
Molecule: transfer RNA, 53 nt
Filed under: Eurythenes maldoror
Lineage: Eukaryota; Metazoa; Arthropoda; Malacostraca; Amphipoda; Lysianassidae
Description: tRNA-Ser
Source: RNAcentral